This 2226-nucleotide long non-coding RNA is filed under the name Brassica napus (rape). Its description in RNAcentral is "long non-coding RNA (BNAP_LNC002762)". The record is from RNAcentral. Lineage: Eukaryota; Viridiplantae; Streptophyta; Magnoliopsida; Brassicales; Brassicaceae.
CCAUUCUCUCCGGAUGCAGCUAGCACAAAGGGUGCUUUGGUAAAUUCAUACCUCGUGACCAUCUUGCAUACAACUUUUGGUUUUGCUUUAUUAAUGAAAUUCACGAGUAUGAAAGUUUGAGAACCUCUUUUCUUCUGUUCUUUUUUCAUUUUAUCUCAAGCUUAUUCUUCUUCUUCUUCUUCUUAAUUACUUAGAUCUCUCUCUUGUUUCAUCUUUCUUUGCUUUCUGUUAUCUGGCGGCUCUGACCAGCUCUCGAGUUGUUUCGUUUCUGGUUAAUGGAUACUGAACCCUCUUGGGAUCUUGGGGGGGUGGUAAAUUUUUUUUCUAAAUUGCAUGGCAACAUCAAAUGACCAAACCAAUACCAAAUCAUCAUAUUCUCACACUCUUCUUCUUUUCCUCAUAUUCUUAUCUUUCAUUCUCUUCAUUGGCCUUACAAUCCCAAUGAAUCAUCAUCAAUCCACAUCUACGGUUGUUCUCUUCAAGAGGGUUCUUCUUAAAUCUUCGGCUCCAGCUUCAUCCACGAUGGAUCUGCGUCCAAAGAAUCACCCACGACCCAGCCGCACUUCUAGAAAGAGAGAGUUUGGAAAUGAUGCUCAUGAAGUUCCUAGUGGUCCAAACCCUAUUUCCAACUAGGUGAGUUGGCAUAUCUGGUUUUACCCCUGAGUUUAAAAGAUAAGUUAUUAUAGAUCAAUAUUAUGUUAUUAUAUAUGGGAGAAGCCUCUGAUCGAUGGAGAUUAGAGAAGAACUUAAUUGUUAUGGAUUUAGUAUAUAUUUUUUAAUGGAUCAGUUUGGUACCGUUCAUUUCCUUCCUAAUAUUUGUUCGUUUUGAAAUUGCUUCCUCCAGCUUUUAAGUUUUGAAGUUAGAGUUGUAAAGAAGAUGCUAUUAUUCGUUAAUCAUUCACAUGUUUAUGUAGCCACCUUUAUACACUACUGCUAUGUUUUUCCUUCACAAAUUUAUUGGGGGCAUAUAGAAGCCUUUAUCAUUAGAUUUUUCUAAUAAUAGUUUAAUUAUUAUAAAGGUUAGAUCAUGAACAGAAAGACUCUAUUUGUAACAAUAGUCGAUGAAAAUGAAGAUCUCGAGGCAUGAUCCCAAACAAUUGUUAGAUCUCUUUACUCCUGGCAAAACUGUCUCCUUUUCUGAAUAUAGUUUUGAAAAGAAAAUGUAAAACAGCUAUAUUCGAUAUCAAUUAUCUAAAGCAAUUUUCUUCCCAAACAGUGAAUGUAGUAAUAAGUCAUUAACGAAAAAGAUAAUAAUAAAUUAGGUUACUAUGGACCCUCCGUUAUGGCGAUAUUCAAACAAAUAGUAUCGGGGAGUACGUUCACACUACUAUUUAAACCAAAGUUCAAUUUGUUUUUCUCCUAUAUUACUUUCCUCAUUUUUAUUCCUUACUAAGAAUAUUAAUUAUCAUAUUUUUUAUUCCGCGACAUGAUACAUAUUAUUGUACAGAGGACAUGCAUUCGUAAUUUGUAAACAAAUAUCAUAUAAUAUAAGGUAUAAUUUGACUUCCAAACAUAAUGGGGAACUAAAUAAUGCAUAAUUUAAUCAUAAAUGAUUUUAUUUUGUUUUCUCUUUUGACUAGUAUUGAUAGACGUUGUUAUAUAAUUGGUGUUUGGUCAAGUUAGUCAAAAAAAAAUUCUUGGGAAAAGAAAAUUUUAAAAAUGAAAAUUUAAAAGAAAGAAAGCAAGAACCCUGCUUUCUUCCACCUCCUCUCCUUUCAUUUAUGUUAUAACCUUUUCCUUUUGCGUAAGCUUUUAAGAUUCGUUGGUAAUUACUUAAUGACUCAAUUACCAUUACACGUUUUGUUCUGUUUCAUGUGAUUGCUCGUUCUGCAGUGGCAUGCCUACCGACAAUUUUAAGUCUUUUCAGGGGCUUAAUAGUAAUCUAUUUGAAAGAAAAAUCUGAAAAAGUCCUGUCUCGCGUUAUGCAAACCCUAGUCUGAAUUCACCAUAUAUGCCCAUUCUCUCCGGAUGCAGCUAGCACAAAGGGUGCUUUGGUAAAUUCAUACCUCGUGACCAUCUUGCAUACAACUUUUGGUUUUGCUUUAUUAAUGAAAUUCACGAGUAUGAAAGUUUGAGAACCUCUUUUCUUCUGUUCUUUUUUCAUUUUAUCUCAAGCUUAUUCUUCUUCUUCUUCUUCUUAAUUACUUAGAUCUCUCUCUUGUUUCAUCUUUCUUUGCUUUCUGUUAUCUGGCGGCUCUGACCAGCUCUCGAGUUGUUUCGUUUCUG